AACGAACGCUGGCGGCGCGCCUAAUACAUGCAAGUCGAGCGAGAAGACGUAGCAAUACGUUUGUAAAGCGGCGAACGGGUGAGGAAUACAUGGGUAACCUACCCUCGAGUGGGGAAUAACUAGCCGAAAGGUUAGCUAAUACCGCGUACGCUCCUUGGACUUCGGUUCAGGGAGGAAAGCGAUACCGUGGGUAUCGCGCUCUUGGAUGGGCUCAUGUCCUAUCAGCUUGUUGGUGAGGUAACGGCUCACCAAGGCUUCGACGGGUAGCUGGUCUGAGAGGACGAUCAGCCACACUGGCACUGCGACACGGGCCAGACUCCUACGGGAGGCAGCAGUAAGGAAUAUUGCGCAAUGGGCGAAAGCCUGACGCAGCGACGCCG
This 380-nucleotide ribosomal RNA is filed under the name uncultured bacterium. RNAcentral's name for it is "bacterial SSU rRNA". It matches the Rfam family "Bacterial small subunit ribosomal RNA", at positions 29 to 399 of the family's 1533-position model. The record is from RNAcentral.